GGAAGGUAGCUUGCUACUGGACCUAGCGGCGGACGGGUGAGUAAUGCUUAGGAAUCUGCCUAUUAGUGGGGGACAACAUUCCGAAAGGAAUGCUAAUACCGCAUACGUCCUACGGGAGAAAGCAGGGGACCUUCGGGCCUUGCGCUAAUAGAUGAGCCUAAGUCGGAUUAGCUAGUUGGUGGGGUAAAGGCCUACCAAGGCGACGAUCUGUAGCGGGUCUGAGAGGAUGAUCCGCCACACUGGGACUGAGACACGGCCCAGACUCCUACGGGAGGCAGCAGUGGGGAAUAUUGGACAAUGGGGGGAACCCUGAUCCAGCCAUGCCGCGUGUGUGAAGAAGGCCUUAUGGUUGUAAAGCACUUUAAGCGAGGAGGAGGCUACUAGUAUUAAUACUACUGGAUAGUGGACGUUACUCGCAGAAUAAGCACCGGCUAACUCUGUGCCAGCAGCCGCGGUAAUACAGAGGGUGCGAGCGUUAAUCGGAUUUACUGGGCGUAAAGCGUGCGUAGGCGGCCAUUUAAGUCAAAUGUGAAAUCCCCGAGCUUAACUUGGGAAUUGCAUUCGAUACUGGAUGGCUAGAGUAUGGGAGAGGAUGGUAGAAUUCCAGGUGUAGCGGUGAAAUGCGUAGAGAUCUGGAGGAAUACCGAUGGCGAAGGCAGCCAUCUGGCCUAAUACUGACGCUGAGGUACGAAAGCAUGGGGAGCAAACAGGAUUAGAUACCCUGGUAGUCCAUGCCGUAAACGAUGUCUACUAGCCGUUGGGGCCUUUGAGGCUUUAGUG
RNAcentral lists this ribosomal RNA (780 nucleotides) under uncultured bacterium. RNAcentral's name for it is "bacterial SSU rRNA". It matches the Rfam family "Bacterial small subunit ribosomal RNA", at positions 70 to 845 of the family's 1533-position model. The record is from RNAcentral.